GACGAACGCUGGCGGCGUGCUUAACACAUGCAAGUCGAACGGUGAAGCGCCUUCCUUUUUGGUGGGUGUGGAUGAGCGGCGAACGGGUGAGUAACACGUGAGUAACCUGCCCCCUUCUUCUGGAUAACCGCAUGAAAGUGUGGCUAAUACGGGAUAUUCUGGGUCUGUCGCAUGAUGGGUCUGGGAAAGAUAUUGUUUCGGUGGGGGAUGGGCUCGCGGCCUAUCAGCUUGUUGGUGGGGUGAUGGCCUACCAAGGCGGUGACGGGUAGCCGGCCUGAGAGGGUGGACGGUCACACUGGGACUGAGACACGGCCCAGACUCCUACGGGAGGCAGCAGUGGGGAAUAUUGCACAAUGGGCGCAAGCCUGAUGCAGCGACGCCGCGUGAGGGAUGGAGGCCUUCAGGUUGUGAACCUCUUUCGCCAGUGAAGCAGGCCUGCCUCGUUUGUGGGUGGGUUGACGGUAGCUGGAUAAGAAGCGCCGGCUAACUACGUG
Molecule: ribosomal RNA, 494 nt
Filed under: uncultured bacterium
Lineage: Bacteria
Description: partial 16S ribosomal RNA
Rfam family: Bacterial small subunit ribosomal RNA
Source: RNAcentral